GAAUUUAAUAUAAGUUUUAAUUAGAAAAUUUUAUAAAAAUGAUAUAUUUAUAAUUUAUAUUUGGUUGGGAGGAUUAUUAAAUUAUAUUAACUUUAGGGUUAAAAAACAUUGAUUUAUGAAUUUUAAUGAUUAAUAUUUUUUAAUUGAUAAUUAAUAAAUUUUAUUAAAGAAUUAAUUACCUUAGGGAUAACAGCGUAAUAUUUUUAAAAAGAUCUUAUUGAUAAAAGUGAUUGC
RNAcentral lists this ribosomal RNA (234 nucleotides) under Camponotus linnaei. Its description in RNAcentral is "partial large subunit ribosomal RNA". Lineage: Eukaryota; Metazoa; Arthropoda; Insecta; Hymenoptera; Formicidae. The record is from RNAcentral.